CCAUCUUCAUGGAGGCUUCUUUGGAAGAAAUGGCAAGCGUUUGAGCUUGCCUGCGGUUCAAGGUACAUAGGGGGGAAUAGCAGCAAAUGGAACUGGGAAACAAAGAUCAGAGGUAGAUCAUGGAGAGCUUUGAAUGGUUUGCCAAGAAAACUGUGAUAUUUCAUAAAAGCAGUAGAGAGCUAUGGAUGUAAUGUCAGUACAAAUUUAAACACACACACACACUUAGAGCAGAGCUUCACAUAUAAUAAGUACUUAACAAAUGGUAGUAUUAUUAAUUGUUGUCUUAGUUCAGGCUGUUACAAGAAAUACGGUAGACUGAGUGGCUUAAACAACAGAAAGUUACAUGUCACAGUAACUUUGAGAGGCUAGAGGUCUGAGAACAGGAUGCCAGCAGGGCCAGGCUCUGGUGAGCUCUCUCUCCCUGGCUCUCAGAUGGCCACCUUCUUGUCGUAUGCUCACAUGACAGAGAGAGACAGGAACAGAGAUGGGGACAAGGGGACGGGCUCUCUAGUCUCUUCUUAGAAAGGCACUAAUCCCAUCAGGACCUCAUCUAAACCUCAUUACUUCCCAAAGGUCCCACUUCCAAAUACCAUCCCACUGACGACUUCAGGAUGUAAAUUUUGUAGGGAUAUAAAACACUCAGCCCAUAGAAGUUAUCAUUAUGAAAAGGAGUUAUAAGAAGGAAGUAAUAUGGUCACAUUCGCUUUAGAAAGUUCACCCUGGUAGAUAUGUGGGAUCAUAAGUGAAGUGAUAUCGCCAUCACUGGCAGUACCUACUCGUGUUGGCAGGUUAGGUCCAGGCUCCUCCUCUCUGCUUCCACAAUGCCUCUGCUUCCCUCUCUCACCACAUUUAGUACACGUGUCUGCAUUUAUGUUGGUCUCUCAAGUUAGAUUAUUAACUUUGUGAGGGCAGAGAUUGUAUUGAUCUCUGUGUCUUUAGCACUGUCUAUUUAAAAAUAUUUAAAUGCACGUGACUCCACACUCCCCCAUGGCACCGUGGCUGAUCCAUCUCCUCCACUUGGUUUCCCCUCCUCCCUCCAUAUCCCACCUUCAAGUGCCUGAUCACUGCAGCCUGCUCCUGUCUCAAGCUUAGGAUGCCAUGUUUCCAAAGUUCCACUCAGACUGUGGGUGGUAGAUAUGUGGUCUGGCCCCCCUCACGUUCCAGAACCAUUCACAUCCGUGUUUCCAGUUUCUUUGCACUUGCCUUGAAAUUGAUGACAAAUGAAUUUUGCAAGCCCAUCUAGGAAAUUACCUCAGUACUCAAGUCAUUUCCUGGGGCCAUUUAAAUUCUUAAAUGUGUGGAGAAGGUUGAGGUCCUUUUUCUUUUUAAAUUCCCUGGACCACUGGUAAACCCCUGUCACCCUAAUAAAUGGAUGGGAGAUGAUGUCACAGAACUGUAAAAGCUCUCGUUGCUUCAGCCCUCCCCUCAUUGGUGGUUCAGGACUGACUUAGAUUUCUCUGACCUUGAGGCUGACGUGUCAGAUCACUGGGAUUUGGCUCAGACCUUCUGCUGCUUGAGGCAAUGGAUGGUCAGAGAGGUCUUGGAAGAAGACAUUAACUUUUUUCACCAUCAUACUGUUAAGCUGCACAUCCCACUGACACAACCCAUGCGGAUCACUUAGCCAUUCAUUAGUUUAAGGAACAUUUAUACUGCUCUUACAAUGGUCAAGGCCGUGCUGGAUUCUGAGGUCACGGAAGUGAGUAAGACAUAUGCACUACCCUGGAGGAGACAAAGCAUCAUGCCAAAAUGAAGCAGUCAUGACUAAGACUUGCUCACUCAUAUCAAUCAUUUCAGGGCUCAUAAAUAAAGAAUAUGUAUAACUACAUGGCUUUUACAUGUGGUUAUAUGUAAACAAUAUACAGUAUAAUACAAUAUUGAGGACAGCAAGGACUUUAAGGAAUGUAUAUAUGUAUACAUAUAUUUGAAAUAAAUAUAUAGCUAUUAUGUGUGCAUAUAUUAUAUAUAUAUAUCUUUGUAUAUUUAUAUGGGUAUGCAUACCUACAUAUAGCUAUCCUAUAUAUAGCCUAUAUAUUUCCUGUAUGUAUAUUAUAUGUAUAUAUUUCAUAUGUAUAUAUUUACUGUAGUAUUUACUAUUAGCCAGGGCCUUUUUCAAACAUUCUCACAAAUUAACUCAUUUAAUUCUCACACUACCUCCAUGAAAUAUGUACUAUUACCAUUAUCCACAUUUUACAGAAUAGGAAACUGAAGCUUAGACAUUUUAAGUAAUGCACUCAUGAUCUACUAAGCUGUCGAGCAAGGAUUUGAAUCAGGCAGAGUACCUCCAGAGGCUAUGUUAUUAAACUGUUUGCUGUAAACUGUGAAGGAAGAAAAUAAUAGAAUUCUUCCCAGCUGAGGAAGCUGUAUUUGCAUGCAGACUUUGGGGCAGGAGAGAAAUAUUUGAACAAAUUAUUUGAGGUGGAACUUUGUAGACCAUUCUCAAAGAAUGGGCAAAUGGUUUAAUUUGGCUUAACAUAAGAAAAGGAUGCCUAUCUUUUGCUUCUUGAGAAGGUCAUGUGUAAGAGGGGUUUCAUUCUGGAGGGUAGCAUGAAAGCCAAUGGGGAGAGGGUACAGGGACACAGAUGAAGGCUGCCUUUUUACCAGCAAAGAUGGACAAGAGUGGGGUAUCACCUGUUUGUCCCAGCUUGGCCUGUCUAAAUAGUCUAGCCUUCUGGUCCCUCCCUUUGAGCUCUGGGAUUCCACGAAGUUGACUUUGUAAUACAACAGCGCUAAAACAGGAGAGGGCUCCUGUCUUGCCUGAAGAGAUCACCAAUAUCCACAGCUGACAAUAAAGGCACUUAAAUCUGGCCAGUUGUCUACUGCUAUAAAACAAACCCCACCCCAAACUUGAGAUUAUAAAACAGCAAUCUUUUUAUUGUGUUCCCAGAUUCUGUAGGUCAGGAAUUGGGAAAAGCCAUGGUGGCCUGUCAAUUAGAACACCUAUAGGAAGAUUCUCCACAUGGCUGGUUGUGUUUCCUCCCAAGAUGGCAGUUAGGUUCCAAGUGUUACCACCCAAAUAGACUCAACUGGAAGCUGUAUUGCCUUUUAUGACCUGGUUUUGAGGUCACAUAGAGUCACUACUAGUAUAGUCACAAGCCCAUCCAGAUUCAAGAAGAAACUAGAAUCCUACAAUUGAAAUCAUGAAUGUCAAGUUUAUAUUGUACAAUGAGCACAUGGGAUGGGAGAGCUUGCUGUGGCCAUCUUUGGAAAAUGCAGUCUCCCACAGAACCUCAUCUUCAGAAUGAGAUGUGGAGUUUGCUUAUUAAAAACAAAAACAAAAUCAGUCCAUCAAAAAGUCAUCAACAUCAGCCCCGCCCAGUUUCCGAAGUCAUCUGACCACUGAAUGCUUUUCCUAUGAGACUCUUAAAAGAUAAGCAUUCCUCAAGUCUACCUUUAUUUUUUUUUUUUUUGUCUUAUGUCUUUUUUGUUGUUGUUGUUGUUGUUGUUGUUGUUGCUAUUUCUUGGGCCACUCCUGCGGCAUAUGGAGGUUCCCAGGCUAGGGGUUGAAUCGGAGCUGUAGCCACCGGCCUACGCCAGAGCCACAGCAACGCGGGAUCCGAGCCGCGUCUGCAACCUACACCACAGCUCACGGCAACGCCGGAUCAUUAACCCACUGAGCAAGGGCAGGGACCGAACCCGCAACCUCAUGGUUCCUAGUCGGAUUCGUUAACCACUGCACCACGACGGGAACUCC
RNAcentral lists this long non-coding RNA (3691 nucleotides) under Sus scrofa (pig). Its description in RNAcentral is "lncRNA (ENSSSCG00025001510.1)". Lineage: Eukaryota; Metazoa; Chordata; Mammalia; Artiodactyla; Suidae. The record is from RNAcentral.